GUUGUGGCUCAGUGGUAGAGCAUCUGCUUUGUAUGCAGAAGGUCCCAGGUUCAAUCCCUGGCAUCUCCA
Molecule: transfer RNA, 69 nt
Filed under: Sphaerodactylus townsendi
Lineage: Eukaryota; Metazoa; Chordata; Lepidosauria; Squamata; Sphaerodactylidae
Description: tRNA-Thr
Rfam family: tRNA
About the family: Transfer RNA (tRNA) molecules are approximately 80 nucleotides in length. Their secondary structure includes four short double-helical elements and three loops (D, anti-codon, and T loops). Further hydrogen bonds mediate the characteristic L-shaped molecular structure. tRNAs have two regions of fundamental functional importance: the anti-codon, which is responsible for specific mRNA codon recognition, and the 3' end, to which the tRNAs corresponding amino acid is attached (by aminoacyl-tRNA synthetases). tRNAs cope with the degeneracy of the genetic code in two manners: having more than one tRNA (with a specific anti-codon) for a particular amino acid; and 'wobble' base-pairing, i.e. permitting non-standard base-pairing at the 3rd anti-codon position.
Source: RNAcentral